CAAAAAAAAAAAAAAAAAGGCCUGCUACUCUUCUUAUAAUACAAGCCGCACUAUUAGAGCUACCCUUUAUUUUUUACAUAUUUCAUUUGACCAAAACGUCUAUAGGGGAAAGAAUUACUUUAAAAUCUAUGAAGCUUGCUGUUGCUCCCUGUGUGUGCUAUCGAACAAACCUAACGGGGGUGGUUCCCCUUUGAAGCACAAUACAAGAAUAUGCUUACGACAACUAUAAACAUAGUCUAUGGCCGCAGUCUUAAUCCACGUUCAGCAAGUGCCUUGUGCACCCGACGAGCAGCUUCUGCAGUGUCAUUAAGGGGAGGGUAGCUCCAGCUCUCUGAAAUAUCCUCAGAACCUGCAAAUGGCCGAACCACACCCUGCUCCCUCAAAGAUUUAUGAAAGUCAGACAGCUUCCAUGUACAACGCUCAGAUCCCAUGAUAUAGACAGGUUUCCCAGUGCUGCAUGCCUCACUUAUCAUACUGACUGAAUCUGCUGUAAUGACAAAUGCAUCUGCCCAAGCUAAAUGUCCCACAUGCGGAUUUGGCUCUAAAGAUAGGGUCAUUCAAAACUUAUAAAAAGGUGUCCUGGAUUAUUUAAACUUAACAAAAGUUUUAAACUAAAUGGAAGAUACCUUCACCAUUCCAGAUGUAAACUUUUGGAUUAUUUCCAAUCUUUUUGAUUACUAUGUUUGAAACCUGCAGGUGGAGUUACAAGAGGAAAACCAAAUAUAUGUGGAGUGAGUCCAGGCACUAUAAAAAAUGAUGAGAAAUAUGUGGUAAUACCUUUGCAGGUGUCCUAUUUGAGAAAGAUAUUCUGACACUCCCACAGCUAUCGAGCACACUAAGCAGAUUGGAAGUUAACUGCUUUGCAAGGUCAGUCCCAUAGCGACAGCAGCUUGUAGGUCCCCCGAUAUUAACCACCAGUAAAGGCUUUGGCAGAGGCGCAAACUCAUCAUGCCACAUGCUAGCUGCAACACGAAGCGCACCAAAAUCAAUUUGAUGCAAAGCUCCCAUGGUCAAAACCACAUGCCCAUCAGGAGGUUCACAUGGCGUUAUCCACUUCCGGAGAAACCGAGGAACCUGCUCUUGUGCUUGAGGAGUCAAAGGAUAAUAAUCAUGACGUGGAGUGAUCACCAGGUCAAACCUAUUCAAAUUUGACCUUGGAUGUUGUAUCUGAACAACAAAAACAUUUUCAGAUGCUAAACGUUUUAUAGAGCUUGCAAUGGAAAUAGUAUCUCUGCCAGAUGCAACGACCAACAAAGGGCCAUCCUGUUCAUAAGUCUCACGAGCCAUGUUCACUAUCUGCUUCACAUCAGCUUCUAAAACCGUUGAUAAACCCACACUAACACCAUUUUCCGAAGGUAAAGUAGCCAAUUUCUUCCCUCGAGCAGCUAAGAGAAGCCGCCAGUAAUUAUAUAAUUGCCUCAGAACAUAAUCUAACUUCUUGUGAAGAGAAACCGGUAGCCAGUGGAGCCACUCAUUGAUUCCACCUCUUGGUCUCGUAACUCGGUAAAAGGAGAGGUUAUCGGAGAGGCCGAGAGCGCGAAUCAAGCCGAUGCUCUGGUUCUCAGAACCAGGAAAGCCGUUGCCAAUAACGACAGCGCGCCUUAUGACGCUAUUGGCGCCACUCUCGAAGAUCUCCGGCACGCCCAUGGUGGGGCUGGGAGGUUCCGGAAGCCUGAUCGGCCUCAUGGAUUGGUUUUGGGUGGUACAAUACAAC
Molecule: unclassified non-coding RNA, 1714 nt
Filed under: Hevea brasiliensis (rubber tree)
Lineage: Eukaryota; Viridiplantae; Streptophyta; Magnoliopsida; Malpighiales; Euphorbiaceae
Source: RNAcentral